GCCCCGAUAGCCCAACGGCAGAGGCAAUGUGCUCAAACCACAUCCAGUGUCGGUUCGAAUCCGACUCGGGGCACCA
Molecule: transfer RNA, 76 nt
Filed under: Marmoricola sp. OAE513
Lineage: Bacteria; Bacillati; Actinomycetota; Actinomycetes; Propionibacteriales; Nocardioidaceae
Description: tRNA-Leu
Rfam family: tRNA
About the family: Transfer RNA (tRNA) molecules are approximately 80 nucleotides in length. Their secondary structure includes four short double-helical elements and three loops (D, anti-codon, and T loops).
Source: RNAcentral